This 465-nucleotide ribosomal RNA is filed under the name uncultured bacterium. Its description in RNAcentral is "partial 16S ribosomal RNA". It matches the Rfam family "Bacterial small subunit ribosomal RNA", at positions 28 to 507 of the family's 1533-position model. The record is from RNAcentral.
GACGAACGCUGGCGGCGUGCUUAACACAUGCAAGUCGAACGGAAAGGCCCUGCUUGCAGGGUACUCGAGUGGCGAACGGGUGAGUAACACGUGGGUGAUCUGCCCUGCACUUCGGGAUAAGCCUGGGAAACUGGGUCUAAUACCGGAUAGGAGCCAUUUUUAGUGUGAUGGUUGGAAAGUUUUUUCGGUGUAGGAUGAGCUCGCGGCCUAUCAGCUUGUUGGUGGGGUAAUGGCCUACCAAGGCGGCGACGGGUAGCCGGCCUGAGGGGGUGGACGGCCACAUUGGGACUGAGAUACGGCCCAGACUCCUACGGGAGGCAGCGGUGGGGAAUAUUGCACAAUGGGCGCAAGCCUGAUGCAGCGACGCCGCGUGGGGGAUGACGGCCUUCGGGUUGUAAACUCCUUUCGCUAGGGACGAAGCUUUUUGUGACGGUACCUAGAUAAGAAGCACCGGCUAACUACGUG